GAAGACUAUCACUAUCUCCUUCUUCCCAAACAUCAAGUGUACAUAAAAAGUCAUGAAAGUAAUGAGGAAUCAUUAAAAAAAUAUAUAUCCUGUCACCGUUUUUCCAAUAGACAGCUCAGGUUGUCCUGGAUUAUUUCAGGAGAGAUUAAGACAUUUAAAAGUGGAAAUUUGAUUUCCUGGCUUCUAGAGCUCUGAGAAGCAAUGAUUUUCUGGAGAAGAAAAAGAAAAUGCCAAGAAAAAGAGCUCUGAGCGCUUAAAUGCUACAACAACACGCUUUGGAAGUGGGAGGGAGCAGCCAGAGCCAUGCGUGUGCCAUUUGUUCUUCCUGCACGUGCCGAGCUGGAGGCUCGUGGUUGCUGUGCCAUUUCUCAGUUCCUGAGGGUUUUGUGCCUGCUGCCAGCUGUGCCCAGGGCUCCUGCUGCGUGCUGGAGCGAGUCCUUCGUCAGGCAUCGAGGGGAAGGACUUGGGAAGUUUCCAUAUCUGGGCCUGGGCCCCGAUGUCUGGAGUGCUGGAUUCACCAUACACCAGCAGCACAACGAUCAGCCGCUUCAUUCCAAGCACCUGCCUGCCUGCAAAACGUCCUUGCUCUGCGCUGAUGGCAGCCUUUGUGAUAGUUUCUGGGAAGCUGAUGCUCGCACGUGUGCCAGGGACUGGCUGGUGAGUGCAGACAGGAUUCCCUUCUGGACCAAGCCACCGACGAGAUGGGUUUUUUGCAGCUCCAGCUGCACAGGUACAAUGUAA
Molecule: long non-coding RNA, 741 nt
Filed under: Anas platyrhynchos platyrhynchos (common mallard)
Lineage: Eukaryota; Metazoa; Chordata; Aves; Anseriformes; Anatidae
Description: lncRNA (ENSAPLG00000031211.1)
Source: RNAcentral